UCCGGUUUGUCACCGGCAGUCUCCUUAGAGUUCCCACCAUUACGUGCUGGCAACUAAGGACAAGGGUUGCGCUCGUUGCGGGACUUAACCCAACAUCUCACGACACGAGCUGACGACAACCAUGCACCACCUGUGCAGAGCCCCGAAGGACACCGUAUCUCUACGGCUUUUCCCUGCAUGUCAAGCCCAGGUAAGGUUCUUCGCGUUGCCUCGAAUUAAGCAACAUGCUCCGCCGCUUGUGCGGGCCCCCGUCAAUUCCUUUGAGUUUUAGCCUUGCGGCCGUACUCCCCAGGCGGGGCACUUAAUGCGUUAGCUUCGGCACGGAACCCGUUGAUAAGGCCCCACACCUAGCACUCAACGUUUACGGCUGGGACUAC
This 377-nucleotide unclassified non-coding RNA is filed under the name uncultured Acidimicrobiia bacterium. RNAcentral's name for it is "contains 16S-23S intergenic spacer region". Lineage: Bacteria; Bacillati; Actinomycetota; Acidimicrobiia. The record is from RNAcentral.